AUAAUUGUCAGGUGAGCCGGGACAGCCUUCUUCCUCCGCCCAGCCGCCUCAGUGACCAUCGUCAAGUCUGCUACAGGAGGAGACAUUUUUCAAAAUAACCUGUCCCUUUCCUCUCAGGUUAUGAAAAGAUUACUUAAUUGUAUUAUUAUUCUCUAAAUUUGUAAUUUAGGACUCCGCAUGUGCUAGUAGUAGCAUUAAGCCUAUCAGAGACUGUAUGAAUUCAAGUUUUCAUAUUAAUAAAUGAAAAGAAAAAAAUUUUAUGAGUUUUAAA
This is a long non-coding RNA of Hevea brasiliensis (rubber tree), 271 nucleotides long. RefSeq lists it as uncharacterized. Lineage: Eukaryota; Viridiplantae; Streptophyta; Magnoliopsida; Malpighiales; Euphorbiaceae. The transcript is spliced from 2 exons. The record is from RefSeq and is a predicted model, not a curated record.